CAAAGCAAGCAUUCAUGUGUAUGGAGUCGGCUGCAUAUGUUCUUUCCCACUGCAACUUGGGAGAACUCCGCGCCUUGGAUUGUGUUAUCAUGGCCUUCCUGGUAUGCAGCCAGUGUCAUAGAAAGAAAUCUCAUGUUGCUGUUAGAAAACAAGCAUCGCUCUUGGCCAAUGAAAGUGCAUGUGUAGCUGAAGAGAUGGCUCAGUGGUUAAAAGCACCUGUCCUAUGACUCACAAUCAUCUGUAACCGAGUCCAGCUUCAGGGGUUGCAAUGCUGCCUUCUGGCACCCACAGGUACCUGCAUGUACAUGUGCAGACACACAAAACACCAUAAAUAAAAAUUGGGUCUUUUAAAA
Rattus norvegicus (Norway rat) is the source of this 353-nucleotide non-coding RNA. The record is from RefSeq and is a predicted model, not a curated record. Lineage: Eukaryota; Metazoa; Chordata; Mammalia; Rodentia; Muridae.